This 779-nucleotide long non-coding RNA is filed under the name Homo sapiens (human). RNAcentral describes it as "HSALNT0305885". The record is from RNAcentral. Lineage: Eukaryota; Metazoa; Chordata; Mammalia; Primates; Hominidae.
CGCGGCCAGCCGGACGCUGCAGCAGUGCGGGCAGCUACAGAAGCUCAUCGGCAUCUCCAUCGGCAGCCUGCACGGGCUGCGCACCAAGUGCGCUGUGUCCAACGGCCUCACCCAGCAGGAGAUACGGACCCUGGAGGUGAGGCCACUGAAGGUCUGAGGGAGAACUGACUUGUCAGGAACUCCUGUUAAGGAGAAUUAACAAAGUGUGGUUAUUAAAGGAGAACUGAGUUGGGAGUCAGACCUGGAGGACUGCACCCUUGGUUAAGACAUUAUACCACCUUGAGUCUGGCCUGUUGACUGAAGGAUGCUCCUGUGAAAGAAAGUUGUGCUGCAUCAGACAUCUCCCUCCUGAAGAUCCCUCCGGAUGAGGAUUUGUGUUUUAAAGGUUCUGAGAAGUCCUGCAACAACAGUUCUCAAACUUAUUUGUCCAGGGGAUCUUUUCUUCCACUGAACGUAGUUGGGGAAACACGGCCUUAAGCCUUGGGCAGAGAAAGAGACAAACUGUUGGCUCACUUACAACCAAGUGUUGUGUUUUAUGUUUUAGGUUUUUAUGAAACUGAGGUGCUGUUUGAGGUUCUAAAUCAAAUUGGGUGGUUGAAGAGAGGCUGGUAUCCCUGUAGACUUAGCCAGCCAUGAGAGGUUGCCUUUUGUUGAAGGAGGUGUUUUACAAAGGGAAAUAGGGUGUCUCCUGGGCAUCACAUUAGCACUUGAAUACAUGUAUCACUGAAAUUAAAUGAAAUGAUGAAAUAAAAUGAUGAAAUGAAGAAAUGAUGAAAUGA